This is a long non-coding RNA of Haemorhous mexicanus (house finch), 2525 nucleotides long. RefSeq lists it as uncharacterized. The record is from RefSeq and is a predicted model, not a curated record. The transcript has 2 exons. Lineage: Eukaryota; Metazoa; Chordata; Aves; Passeriformes; Fringillidae.
UAUAUAAUACAUAUAAUAUAUAUUAUAAUUAAGAUAUUCAUUCAGGUGAUUAUGAUUAUCAUGUUUAGAUACUGCAAAAAAUUCUCAAUCCAUCAAAAACUGACCCAGGACCUUCCUCUGCUCAGAGUUUUUUCAAGGACUUGGUGGCUUCUAAAAAAUCCUUAAAUUAAAUCACAAAACAGAGUCUAAAUAUUUUCAACACCGAGUGACGAAUGAAAAACCAUUUUUCAAAUUCUAUUUACAGCAUCAAAAGCCAGCUCAGUGAUGGCAGAGCUCCCACCCUGCUGCUCUGCUCCCAGGUGCACCCAUCCCCUCAAUUAUUUCCAUUUCUUGGGAAUUCAGGCCUCCUUGGAAUCUGCAAUCCCCAGGAUGGUUUGAUGUCUGCUUUUGCUCCAAAAAUGAUGCCACAGGAAGUCCGUGGCUUGUGGAACUGACUGAUUUUAUUUUUAUUUUUGGAUGUAUAUUUCUGUUUUUCAGCUGCGUCACCCCGUUGGUUUUCAUGGAUCCCGGUGACAGAAAUUGUCCCUGUCACCUUUUUAUUGAGGGGAGGAACAUCCAACCCCUUCUGCAGGAAAGCCCCUCCCUGCUGCUCUCAGAAAUUCUCAUUUCCUCCACUUCAAAGAACAGUGAGAAAACUGCUCAUCUUCACCCCAAACCACACAAUCCUUCAGCUUCAAGGCCACAGGGCCCUCAAAUAUUGGAUUUUUUUUUUGCUAAACUGGAAGAUUUUCUGGCAGAAAUCAGAGCCAGCACCUUUUGUUUUUCUUGCAAAAUGUGAUGAGGCCUGUAAUUACUGUGUGGGGGAAAAAAAAAGGAAAAUAAAAUCCCCAGACAGCCCUUUCUUCUUUCAAAGCUGAAUUUUGGGGGGAUUAAGCUGCUGGAUCAGGUGUAGAUUUUUAUUUUUGGGGGUGUCCAAGUGAGGGUUUGGCUUUAGCAUCCCCAGAGCUGCACAAAUCCCUCAGGCUGUGCCUAAAUCUGGGAGUGCAGCAGGGAUUGAUCCCAAAUCCCAGGUGGAUCCCUGAUCCCUGCAGCAGCAUCCACGCUCAGCUCGGUUAUUAACAGAGUUAAUAACUCAAUAAAUUCAUUUAAAGGGGGUUUUGGAGUUCCCCCAAGUCCUGGAAGAGCAGAACAGACAUUUCCAGCAAAGAGCAGAGGAAGUUUUGCAAGAGAGGCUUUGCCACAGCUCUGAGCAGAUGAAUUCCAGAAAAUCCUUGAGCAAUUUCUUUCCAGAACAAGGAAACCACGAGGCAGAGGAACCUCCUGGAUCCUGAGUUCUUUCCUUUGACUCUACAACAAAAAAAAAAAUGAGGAUUAUCCAGCUUGGAGUCGAGGAAAUUUGUUCCUGGUGAAAUUUGUCCCUGGGUAUCCCCUGGCAGGGAUUCCCCUGCUCCCGGAGAAUUCCCCACAUCCCUUUUCCUCACCUGGCUGAUUCCACAGCCAGGAGGAAUUUUGGGAUGGAAUUUGGAGCAAUUUUGGGAUCCAUGGAGCAAUUUUGGGAUCCAUGGAAGAGGCCCCAUUUCCACUGGGAAUUCUUUCACCAGCUUCUCAGUUCCAUGCUCCCUCAAUCCCAUGGAAGCAGCUCUUCUUUGCCUUUUCCAAGGAGCUGUGGUUUUCCAGCCAGCUCCUGGUUUAUUUUUAAAUGCUUUCUGCAGAGUUCUUACAGCCAAAAAAAAAAAAAAAAAAGAAAAGUUGCCUGAGGAGCUUGAGCCAGGAUUUGGUGCCUGAGAGAAGGGUGAGGAGUGAAUCCCCUCAAACAAAUCCACUCCAGGGGGUGGACUUGGAGCAAGUCACUCAUUUGGAGCAGGCUCCUGGGGCUGGGAGGUGAGAAGGGAAUGAGGCUGGGGGUUUUCAAGGGAAUCAGGAUCCUUUUCACUCACUCAGAUUAUUCAGCAGCCCUUGGAGCAUUAGAUGGGGACUGGAGCUGGCAGGAGCAGCUUGGAAUGUGGAGUUUAUUUGGACAGGCUGGGAUGUAAAACAGGCUCUGGAAUUGUCUGCUGGGCACUGGAUCCCUGCUGGAUCCUCCUCCCUUGGGAGUGUUCAGGAAAAUUGGGAAUGAAAAUUCAGUGAGCAGGGGAUGCCUUGGGGGUUGUGAUCCUCCUGCCAGGCUGGGAGAGCAUCCCAGGGGAUCUGAGCUAACCCAGGUCUGCUCAGUGGGCAGCCAGGCUCUGAAAAUGUUGGGAUUCCUGUUCCAAGUUGGUGUUUCCUUCACUCCAGGAGGGAUUUGUGCAGGACUGAGGUGAAGCUCCACAAACUUGAGCAGAGCAGGGCUGGUGCCAGGUGAUUCUGCUUCCCAUGGAUGCUAAAAUCACCCCCAGCAUCAAAAAUCAGACAUAAAAUCAUCCUGAGGCUGAGGCAGAAGUGGUGGCAGCACCAGGCAAGGCUGGCACUGGAGCAAACUCCCAAUUUCCCACAUGGGAAUGGGGUUUCCAUUUUGGCUCUGAGGUCCCUCAGCCUUGGUGGAAUUGAUUUUAGAACAUCAACCCGAGGAUUUGUGCAAGAAAUAAAUUUUUUUUUAGUGGUUUAAG